UUCGCAAUGCCCGAAAGGGUGACGAAGCGACGCCGCGUGGGUGAGGAAGGCCUUCGGGUUGUAAAGCCCUGUCAGGAGUUAAGAAAUGUAAGUGCGCUAAUAUCGCAUUUAUUUGACAAAGGCUCCAAAGGAAGCCACGGCUAACUCUGUGCCAGCAGCCGCGGUAAUACAGAGGUGGCAAGCGUUGUUCGGAAUUAUUGGGCGUAAAGAGCACGUAGGUGGGUUUGUAAGUCAGAUGUGAAAGCCUUCUGUUCAACGGAAGAAUUGCAUCUGAAACUGCAAGUCUUGAGUGUAGGAGGGGAGAAUGGAAUUUCUGGUGGAGCGGUGAAAUGCGUAGAUAUCAGAAGGAACGCCGGCGGCGAAAGCGAUUCUCUGGCCUAUUACUGACACUCAGUGUGCGAAAGCUAGGGGAGCAAACGGGAUUAGAUACCCCGGUAGUCCUAGCUGUAAACGAUGGGCACUAAGUAGAGGGGUUUU
RNAcentral lists this ribosomal RNA (477 nucleotides) under Candidatus Scalindua brodae. Its description in RNAcentral is "bacterial SSU rRNA". It matches the Rfam family "Bacterial small subunit ribosomal RNA", at positions 365 to 832 of the family's 1533-position model. The record is from RNAcentral. Lineage: Bacteria; Pseudomonadati; Planctomycetota; Candidatus Brocadiia; Candidatus Brocadiales; Candidatus Scalinduaceae. RNAcentral also lists the same sequence under 1 other name.